Molecule: ribosomal RNA, 463 nt
Filed under: uncultured bacterium
Lineage: Bacteria
Description: bacterial SSU rRNA
Rfam family: Bacterial small subunit ribosomal RNA
Source: RNAcentral
GAUGAACGCUGGCGGCGUGCCUAACACAUGCAAGCCGAGCGAUUCUCUUCGGAGAAGAGCGGCGGACGGGUGAGUAACGCGUGGGUAACCUGCCCUGUACACACGGAUAACAUACCGAAAGGUAUGCUAAUACGAGAUAAUAUGCUUUUAUCGCAUGGUAGAAGUAUCAAAGCUCCGGCGGUACAGGAUGGACCCGCGUCUGAUUAGCUAGUUGGUAAGGUAACGGCUUACCAAGGCGACGAUCAGUAGCCGACCUGAGAGGGUGAUCGGCCACAUUGGAACUGAGACACGGUCCAAACUCCUACGGAGGCAGCAGUGGGGAAUAUUGCACAAUGGGCGAAAGCCUGAUGCAGCAACGCCGCGUGAGCGAUGAAGGCCUUCGGUCGUAAAGCUCUGUCCUCAAGGAAGAUAAUGACGGUACUUGAGGAGGAAGCCCGGCUAACUACGUGCCAGCAGCCGCGGU